CCAGCAACAAACAGAAGCAACCACUGUCCUGUCCAGAACAUGUAUAUCUUCAGUUUUGGUUGCCUUCCGUUUACUUGCCAACAAGCGACACUGAGCUCACAUAUUUAUUGUUUGCUUUGUUAUAUACUUAAUCUGCUAGACAAAGUGUAAAAGGGAAAUUCAUGCUCGACAAUUUUGUAUAUUUAUAAACCUAGAUGCUACUCUAAUUGGUUUUACUUCUUCCAUAUAUUUUCUCCUCCCAGUGUGUAUAAACAGUGCACAAAGUUAAUUUCUUUUCCGUCUUGACCGCAUCUAAUUUUAAAGAAAAUAGAGAGGAAUCUGAGAGAUACACAACCAGAAGAAUUUUGUUUCUUUGACUUAUCAAUCAUGUCUAACUUUUGGUAAAAGAGAGGAAUUUGAGAUAGAUAGAUAGCCUGAACAGCUUUGAACAGCUUUGAACAUCCGAGUAUGCUGCCGGCCUCCUCGCCGUGCACCAGUGUGUGGCAGCUGCUGAGAUGUGCGCAGUUUACUCCCGGUUCCGUGAUGGUGUUGAAAAGCACCUUAACUGAGCCAAGGAAUUUAGUAGCAUUGUGGGACGAUUAACCAAAUUUUUUCCUCUUCCUAUACUAUCUUCUCAUAUUAUAAUUUUGGUGUCCUGGUAGGCAGGGAUCAGCUUUGGUGGCAUCCGAUGCUGCCAGGCCACGGGGUUAGAGCAGAGGAGGCUGACAUGGUGUUCGACAUUCAGAUGGUCAUUGUGAUCGACCAGAUGCGGCGCCUCAUGUCACCCCGAGCCUCCAGGACUUGUUAGCGGUGCUCAUAAAGUAAGCUCAUAGAGUAAGAAUAUGCUUGCAAGUGCUCAUUUCCCAUAUGCUUGCCCACUCCUGUCUCGCAUCAAGCUUUCAUUUAUUUCCCUAAAAUUCCUCUAAUUUUGUUGUGUGCAUGUCUGAGAAAGAAAUAAGAGGAAUAAGCUAUGGUACGUCUUGGCGAAGUACAUUAUUUCCCUGGCUUGUGAAGUUAAUGCGCCCAAAUUCGCGUACAGUCUGGUUUCGGACUAACAAUGGCUCCUUGUGUUAUAUUGCAACUAGAAAAAGAGAUGGGCAUAAUAAAGAAGCUUGGUGAACAAAUAUAUAUCUGAACCCUCUACACAGUAUAGAUGCUAUAAUUUUUGUUAAAUGGAAGUUAGAUUCAGAUUCUUAAAAAUAUUAUCAUUCAGUCCUAUACAUACAAAGUACCUGCAACCCGCAUCUCUAAACAACGCGAACCUAUCCACAAUCAUAAACUUGUGUAUUGAUCCUCCAUUCAGAUUUCUUAUUAGCUCAUUCUGGCCUGUGUGAAAUUUUUGUGUUUGCUUUACAAUGGCCCAAUGCAUUUCGGUCGAUAUAUAUGUGAUGCCAUUGGUUGGCCUGGAUCGGAUAGCUAGGUUUGAUCGAUUCGGUUAAUAUAUGUUUAUGUUUCUGUUUAGGUUUCAGCACCUUUUGAUGCGUGUGCGUGCUGCCAUUGAUUAACUUCAUCUGUUUUGCUGGCUAUUCUAUGUGCAUUUACAUGUAUAGGAUAGUCAUUUUGAUUCAGUUAAGAUAUGUUCAGAUUUCUGUUUAGAUUUCGGCACCUUUUAAAUGUGCUACCAUGGGGUAACCUGAGUCUAUUUUAAUGGCAACGGGACCUGCAAGUGCAUGGCCCACUGCUAAUAGUCCUAGAAGCGAUCGAAAUUGUUGCUAUUUUGACUUUGUCUGCUACAUGGACUGCUAUUCUGAUCUCUAUGUUUUCCCAUUGCUUCAUUCAGUAUGUCCACGUAAAACCAGAAAUUACAUGCAUUUGAAUGAUGAUAGCUUAGCACUCGAUGAUAAAUGUGAUGUUGUUUUAUGUUAAUGUGAAACCCGAUCUAUCGGUUGUUAGUUUGAAUCAGUACCCAAGCCAUCCUCCUCACUGCCCUCCUCUUAGUUAUUUAGGUAGUUCUUCCUUCUUGGGUAACAAUGAGAAAACGAUUAGGUUGGUUACACAGUAUACUUCAUGAUUGCGGUAGGCACAAAAUGCUUGGCAGACUAAAAUAACUAUGCCUCAUUUCUAUUAUCAAGCUCUAAGUGUAUAUUGAGAUGCCUUUGUACAAUGGAAGAUCCAUGGGGUUGUUUGUUUGCUUGUAGAUUUUCGUGCAGAUAUUUGAAUUGUGCAAAUUUUUAAUUUGAGUUAUAAUUUGUUGUCUCUCGAUGUCGCUAAUUUUGUAUGAGCUGGAGGUGACCAUUAUCAUGUUCUUUCUAUUUUUUAUAGACAAUGUUUUAUUUCUAAUAUUUAGUUUCAUUCCAAGAUUAAUGAUGCUUUCACUCUGUUUUCAAAUUGACAAUUUCCGCCGACCGUUGUUGCACUCAAUGAUGGUUGAUGCCAACGUCGUCCAUUAGCAUUUAUUAUGUUGAAAAUUGCUUCACUCGGUCAUCUCUGCUUUUGACGCCACAAAAACAUGUGACAACUAAUUUAUGCUUGAUUAUUUGCUCAUUUUUAUUCCUUAUACAUUUAGCUCUUGUCCUUGAUUAGUUCAUUUGCAAGGAGAGUGUUUGUGUUCAACAUAAUAUUCCAUUUCCAGGUUUGCACUAAAACUAACUGCAAUAGAAGAAAGUGCAUGAAGAAUGAACAAGGAAAAGCUACAGAUUGAUAUGUAUAGGUUACAAAUUUUUCUACCUCCACCCCAUAUUCCCACUUAUGGUUCAGUGAAGAGUAUGAUUUCUCGCUUGGGAGGAUGCCAUACACAAGAUAUGCAUUUGUUUCCGAUGCCUUUUCAUUACAGUUGCUUUUGUUUAAAUUAUAAAGAGUUAAAUACAUCAUGAGUGCCUAAACUUGUUCGUUGCGCUCAGUUUAGUGCCUAAACUUGUAAAAUACAAAAAAAAUGGUGCUAUAACUUGUCGCACGGUGCAUAUACGGUGCCUCCACCCGUAUGCCAUCGUAUUUGCUCUCUGUGUGGCGUGACAACUGGCAGCUGGCCCACAGAUCAGUGGGUGAGCGUUGUCUGCGCUGGGUGAAAUGCAUACGAGUUGUUUUUGCAGAAAUUUACGUGAGAUUUAAUUAAAGUCACAAAUAAGCCAUUGUUCUAUAUGCUAAUAACAGGAAAAAAAUUACUGUGUCAUUGAAUUGGUUUUGACCUUGGGACCUCCAGGUUAAAUAGCACGCACGCUAGACGCCAAGACUAAUAUUACUUAUACAAUCUACUAUCGCUCUGCAAUUUCCAUUAUAUUGUUUUCAAGUUACCGUUUGGUUUUUACAAUAUAUGUAAAAUUUCCAAUAUACAAAUACGCAACAAUUGUCUAUUAAAAUCUUUAUUCUAUUUUUAUUAUUUGUAGUUUGAAGAGGUAAACCCGAACUGUUUGUAAAAUUUAUAUGGAUUUAAAAAGUUCAACAUAUAUUAUAAAAUAUUGCCUAACUUUUUUGUAUCUUCAUCCAGAACUAUUUUGUAUCUUCAUUGUAUUUUUAAAAUACAUAAUUAUUUAAAAAUCAACAAAGUUGUAUUUUGAAAAUUGUUCAAUAUGUAUUAAAAAUGAUUGUGUAAAAAGAAUAAAUUCAAUAAAUGGGUUAAAACAUGUUAAACGUGUUUGUAGAAAUGUAAGAAUAAUUUUACACAAUAAUUAUUUUAAUACAUAUAGAACAUUUUAUGAAAUUGAUGUUGUAAUUUUUUUUGAAUGCGUGACGGUCAUUUUUCAAAUACACGUUUACAAUGUCUUAAUAGAAGUGAGAAUUUUCCAAAAAUAUGUUGACUUUUUGGAAAAAUACACGUUGAAAAUGCACUGUUCUUGGCCUAUUGGUUAGCACAUGUGCACAUUGUGCGCGAGGUAAUGAAGUCGAAUGCUGCCGGUGUGUGCUCUUUUUUCUUGUUAUUACACUCUAUUUUAUCCCACAUGCUGACAUGCAGGGCGUAGAUCUGACAGAUGAGGUAAAUGCAGUUUGGCAUAUUUAAAUAAAAAAUAUCAGGAGGUUUUGUGAAAAUUAUUUAAAGUACAAGGAAUUUUCUGUAAAACAACUAGCACACACCUCUCACAGGAAUUGACAUGUGGGUCGACGCCAUGUUGACACACCAUGUGGGCUUUGCAUAUGCCUAAAUACGGACAGAGGCACUGUAUUUGAACGUUCAAACAAGUUACGACACCAGUUUCAUGUAUUUUACAAGUUUAGGCAUCAAAGUGAUCGCAUCGGACAAGUUGAGGCACCCGUGAUGUAUUUAGCUCAAUUAUAAAAGCAGCCUUCUAGAGCAGAUCAUUUUUUAUGGAUAUAUGACGACAGGUUUGCGAUUGCAUUGUCAAAAGCAAACCUAGGGUGUUUGAUGUUUCCAUGUAGUUUUAAAACAACCUCCUAGCACUGUUCAUUAUAUAUAUACAUUGAUGCGCUUCUCCAUAUUUGAGGCAUCGUUUGGGUUUUAUCUACUUGUCCAUGAAGGAUGCUUCAUGAGGAAAAUUCCUCAUAUAAUAUUUUUUGAGAGGAAGAGUUUAGGGAGUACUAUAAUUCUGAAGAUAUGCCAGAGAAUUGAAUAUGAACUCACAUAAAGAAUCGAGAUUACAAACGUAGAGGCUUCACUAGAAGAGAGGCCCUUUCUGUAGAUCACAAGAGACAUGUUUUUUGUAGGUACAAGAACCAUAUUUCUAUUUACGAUUAUCUCCUAGCAAUGAAAGUCGUAUGUGACAAACAUGAAUAAGCUAGGGGAAAGGUCAACUGCUCUCUUCCUUUUUGUUUUGAGUGUUAACUUCUGUUUUCAAUUUCCAACUUUGUGCAACUAUUUUCUAUAUAUGUAUAGGUGCUUGCUAUGUUAGAGAUAAAAAAGGAUCUUGGUUACAGCAAGCCACGUGGGGGUUACAGCAAGCCACGUGAGCACAUGGCAUGGAGAAAUGCCAGUGUUCUUGAAAUCCCUUGUUGCAUUUGUUCUUUGUCCUUCUGGGAUGUUACUAAGACAUCCUUUACUAAGACAUCAUUUUCUUAGGUAUUGAGUAGGAUUUUAGCUGCACAACUUGUUGAAAAAAAUCAAUGCUUAAGUUGACGAUAAGGUGAUGUUUGGCCUUGGCCUUUUGUUCUAAUCAUUUGUUGUUAUUAUCACAUAUCAUUUCAUCAUUUUUUUUGGCUUCAUUCUUUCCUUCCUGCUUGCGGCAGGUAGAAGACUCGGGUAAUGGGCAGGUAGAAGACUCGGGCAACGGUUAAUUGACAAGCACUAUAUACACAAUGCAUCUCUGCUAAUAUAGCUUACUUUAUAAAGCCAUCAAUGUAUGCUAUUAUCAAGUGAUUUGAAUAUUUUAUUUUAAGCUAUCAUAUAAUGGAAUAUAAGUAUCCAUUAACUUGGUUCUAAACCAGUCUAAUAUGCAUGGUUUGAAUGCUCGGCUUGCUCUCCUUUUUGCGUGAUAUGAAUAUUUUCUUUUAAGCUAUAAUGUAAUGGAAUGUAAGCAUUUAUUAAGUUGGUUUAAAUCAAUCUCAUAUGCAUGAUUUUAAUACUCGGCUGGCUCUUUCCUUUUGCGCUAUGGGCGCAAC
RNAcentral lists this long non-coding RNA (5466 nucleotides) under Triticum aestivum (bread wheat). RNAcentral's name for it is "long non-coding RNA (TAES_LNC004652)". Lineage: Eukaryota; Viridiplantae; Streptophyta; Magnoliopsida; Poales; Poaceae. The record is from RNAcentral.